CGGCUCAGUAACACGUGGACAACCUACCCUAUGGAGGGGGAUAACCCCGGGAAACUGGGGAUAAUACCCCAUAGACUAUAGAUGCUGGAAUGCUUUGUAGUUGAAAGGUCCGCCGCCAUAGGAUGGGUCUGCGGCCGAUUAGGUUGUUGUUGGGGUAACGGCCCAACAAGCCUGUAAUCGGUACGGGUUGUGGGAGCAAGAGCCCGGAGAUGGAUUCUGAGACACGAAUCCAGGCCCUACGGGGCGCAGCAGGCGCGAAAACUUUACAAUGCGGGAAACCGUGAUAAGGGAACUCCGAGUGCCCGUAAAAUCGGGCUGUCCAUCUGUUUAAAUAACAGGUGAAGAAAGGGCCGGGCAAGACCGGUGCCAGCCGCCGCGGUAAUACCGGCGGCUCGAGUGGUGGCCACUAUUACUGGGCUUAAAGCGUUCGUAGCUGGUCUGUUAAGUCUCUGGGGAAAUCUACUGGCUUAACCAAUAGGCGUCUCAGGGAUACUGGCAGACUAGGGACCGGGAGAGGUGAGAGGUACUCCAGGGGUAGGAGUGAAAUCCUGUAAUCCUUGGGGGACCACCUGUGGCGA
Molecule: ribosomal RNA, 578 nt
Filed under: uncultured Methanoregula sp.
Lineage: Archaea; Methanobacteriati; Methanobacteriota; Methanomicrobia; Methanomicrobiales; Methanoregulaceae
Description: bacterial SSU rRNA
Rfam family: Archaeal small subunit ribosomal RNA
Source: RNAcentral